UGAAGAGAGCAAGGCAGAGAUGCUUCUGGUCAUGAUUCUGAGAUCAGUCACCUGCCUGCUUCAUGUAUAGUAAGAGUUCCAGACACUGCUGGAAGCACAGAUGGACAAGAUGGCACCUGCACUGCUUCUGGUAUACGUGACCCAUUUACCCAGAAGAGAAAUUAUCCAUGCGGCAUGCUGGUUUAACAUUUCAAUCAACAAACAACAACUCCACCACCCAGCUUGAGGAGUGAGAUCUUCACUCUAACUGUUCUCAGCACAGUCUCCUGGUGCAAAGCUGGACUAAGAAUUUUAAUAUUACACUUUGCACUUCUUUUGUUCAAUGGUAAGACCCAAAAUAAACCUUUCUGCCUAGGUAUGAACAUCUGUUUUGCUUCAACAAAAGUAUUCUCUGUCAACACAAACUCCCUGACCUCCAUGCUUAGAGCUGCGUAAAAGUCAACUUCUUCUGAGCCACUUGUUAAAACUUGUAAAUGAACUGAUUUUUCUGCAGUUGUGAUUUAUCAGUUACAUCAGCACUAUCAUUUCUUGCCCACUGGCAGAGGAGUUAUAGUUGCAGAUGGGAGUCAUAUCGGGCAUUCUGUAUGACUUCCUUGUCAACUCACUUCUUUCCAUGUGGAAAGAGACAGGUGUACACUAGAGCUUUCAAAAUCUAUUUAGAGACCCAGCAUCUAGCAGAAAAUAAUUUUUUCUAUAUAGCACUUUGUUGUUUUUACCCACUAUUGUGCAGUGCAUGCAUUGUACCUGCAUUACCUUACUUAAUCUUCAUGGUAAUUCUCUAAGGUACAAGGAGAUUAAAAAUGACUUGGGCAAGGACAUUACAAACUGGAGAGCCAGGACUUGAACCUCGGUAAUCUGACACCAAAGUUCUUAUUCCUAACCACUUCAUUUAUACUGAUACUGUAAGAAUUUCCUUUCUAUAACUAAAAUUUUGUAUUAAAUUUUUUAUAUUUAUUAGAAGAAUAAAUUCUAAAAAUAUAAAAACUAACUCUUGGCCAAUAUGGAAGCAUUUUAUUAGUGUACUGAAGAUAGAGUUUGAGAUCAGAGGCAGGUACAUUACUUCUAAUUUACAAGUUGGUACAUGGGAGCAGAAAAUGUGGUAAUAAGAGUUUUUGUGCCUUUUUAGACAUUCAGCCCAUUUUUUCACCAGAUAAUUGGUAAGAUGCAUAUUCUGUAGUGUUACAGCUUACCCACCAUAGAAAAAAUGUUCUGUAGAGCUAUUUAAGUAGAUGUGAUGAGGGUUUGUUUUAAGUAAAGGGUGAAUGUGACUUUCAUUAUUCUCUGUGAUAUAUAAACAUGAAUCAGUAAAGGUUUCUCUUGAAACUUGUUCAAGAA
This 1335-nucleotide long non-coding RNA is filed under the name Pongo abelii (Sumatran orangutan). Its description in RNAcentral is "lincRNA". Lineage: Eukaryota; Metazoa; Chordata; Mammalia; Primates; Hominidae. The record is from RNAcentral.